RNAcentral lists this long non-coding RNA (313 nucleotides) under Chrysemys picta bellii (western painted turtle). RNAcentral's name for it is "lncRNA (ENSCPBG00000008455.1)". The record is from RNAcentral. Lineage: Eukaryota; Metazoa; Chordata; Testudines; Emydidae.
CACCAGUCCAUUACAGGAGUUUUAUGCCAAGGUGACAAGUUUUUACCAGCAUGAAAUUGGAAUAUUGGACUGCUGAACCAGACCUGAGAACAGUGGAACCAAAGGUGACAUCAUCCUUGACCCUCCAAGAGGCAGAAAACGGUGUUCAGUAUGACCAACAUUCUCCUACAUUUCAAUGGAGGGUGACUGGAUUUCAUCUGCUGCACCCAAGUGUUCACUUCUUCUAUUUUUAGCAAGCUUGAAAAUAAUUUAAAUUAAUAGUAUUAUUUUUAUCACAAUGGCUCCCCUUCUCUGUUAAGAUCCUCAAACAAUU